RNAcentral lists this non-coding RNA (220 nucleotides) under Desulfobotulus alkaliphilus. Lineage: Bacteria; Pseudomonadati; Thermodesulfobacteriota; Desulfobacteria; Desulfobacterales; Desulfobacteraceae. The record is from RNAcentral.
CAAGUCCUCUAUCCGGUAAGGUGUAGCGAACCGCCGGAGACCUUAAGUCAUGGGCUGCUGCUCGUGAGGGUAGUGGUUAAGCGUUGACAGGGGAACAUACAGGCUCGGUAUUGAGCUUUUGAAAUCAGGGUUGGGAAUGCUGACCGUGUUGGGUGAACGUGAAGGCAAAACAGCCUGCUGCGUGCAGCCAGCAGCAGGCUGUUUGUCUGCGUACAGUCCU